CGAGGUAAACUACCCAUAUGUAAUUUUUUUUUUAAAAUCAAAUCCUGGAAAUUUGUUUUCUACAAUUGUGUGUUUUUCACGCUCUUACAGGUUUCAAAGUUGGGGCUUGGAUGCAUGAACCUGAGUUCUGGUUAUAGCUCUCCAGUCUCAGAAGAGGAUGGCAUCUCAAUGAUAAAACAUGCUUUCAGUAAAGGAAUCACUUUCUUUGAUACUGCUGAUGUGUACGGACAAAAUGCUAAUGAAAUUCUUCUGGGAAAGGUUAGAGUCAUUUCUUUGAAUUCUCUUACCUCUUAUAUAAUUCGGACAUAGGUCAAGUGAUAACUUAAGAAUCACAGUCCUGAUGAAAUAUGUUUGUUUAGGAAUUGGUGAAACCUCGUCGGAUUUUUUUGAAUCUUAUUGAAUUAAAAAAAAAAAAAAAAAGAGUACUCCUUCGAUUUCAGGCCUUCAAGAUGUUGCCCAGAGAAAAGGUACAAAUAGCCACAAAGUUUGGGGUUGUAGGACUAAGAGAUAAUGGCGUGAUCGUGAAGGGCACCCCUGAUUACGUGCGCUUGUGUUGUGAAGCUAGCCUGAAGCGACUUGAUGUGGAUUACAUUGAUCUAUAUUAUCAACAUAGAGUGGACACAUCAGUCCCCAUAGAGGAAACCGUGAGCGAUUUUUUUUUUUUUUUUUUUUUUUUUUUGGGCUAUCUGAAUUGUAGAGUUCUGUCCCAAAUUGCAAAAUUUAAAGAAUUAUUUUAGAAACUCUAUUACUUGUCAUGCUAUAGAUUGGUGAAAUGAAGAAGCUGGUGGAAGAGGGUAAAAUCAAGUACAUUGGAUUAUCUGAGGCCAGCCCAGACACAAUUAGGAGAGCACAUGCUGUUCAUCCCAUCACAGCUGUACAAAUGGAAUGGUCCCUCUGGACUCGUGAUAUUGAGGAAGAGAUAAUACCCCUCUGCAGGUUUGUUCUUCUUUCAGUGAAUACUAUCCGCAUUAGUCUUUUCUUCUACAGGCCUUUGAAGAGUGUCUAAGGACCUAUUUAUUUGUUCCAAUCUAGUAUUUUGUACCUAAUGUUUGUAGAAUUUUUUAAAUUUAAUUGCAUGCAUAGAGUAGAUUAGAUUUUCUGUGCAAGUGUAUGCUAAUAAAUACAAGGCUGCCCUUCUGAUACAUUGAGGUGGGCAGGGAACUCGGCAUUGGAAUAGUUCCAUACAGUCCUCUUGGUCAUGGAUUUUUUGGUGGCAAAGCUGUUGUGGAGAGUGUACCUGCAGAUAGCUUUUUGGUACUUUUUCCGAUCAAUGUUUAUCCGCAUCAUUUUGUUUCCUAAGUCAGUACUAUAUAAAAUGUUUUAAACUAGCAAAAGUAGUCUUACAGUUUCUUUAACUGUUUUAUAUAUCGUCGUACAUAUGAAAAUGAUACAUGUAUUUGUUUUAUAAGCAUUUUCUUCCUAGGUUCAAAGGAGAGAACCUGGACAGGAACAAGAGUAUUUAUUUUCGCAUAGAGAACCUUGCCAAAAAGUACAAUUGCACUUCUGCUCAACUAGCCCUAGCAUGGGUUCUUGGACAGGGGGAUGAUGUCGUACCUAUUCCCGGUAACUUCUUUCUUUCGAGUUUUUGAUUCAUGUAUUACCUUGAAGAAGUAUAUAGAGUUUAAAAAACCCAGCGGAUAAAAAGAUAUUACCAGCAAUAUUACUUACUGUUAAGUUGCUUCAAUUUUCAGGGACAACUAAGAUUAAAAACCUUGAUGACAAUAGUGACUCCUUGAGGAUUAAACUUACAAAAGAGGAUCUGAAAGAAAUUUCUGACGCUGUGCCCAUAGAAGAGGUAGCAGGAGACAGAGACCCGGAAGGCUUUGAUAAAGCAUCGUGGAAGUUUGCAAACACACCUCCAAAAGACUGCUAGGUUUCAACUUAAAAUAGUUCUUGAUGCUGCCUAUCUUACUUGGAGCUGGGAUACAAUAGUUUAUUCAAAUAAUGGCAGAUAAAUGCCAAAUUAUCUGUACAAUCUACUACUUGGCUAUCUGCCUAUUUGAUGUUAAACUUUGAUUAUUACGAUCUACUAUAUGUUUGGAAAUUUAGCAUGGCCAAUUUGUGAAAUGAAAAUACGCAUGUUUGAACUUUUCUAAGUUAAAGCUGAAUUCCAAGUUACUAUAAAAUCUUGCCAACUCGCUUUCCUUGAAAAUAAAGAUUGGAAAUAUCCAAAUUUUGGAUUGUAACAAUUUUCCUGGAUUUUACUUCAUCAUUGUAUAGAUAUAUGUUGAAAAAAUUUCAGCCUUUUUGAGUUCCAUGAAUGGGACAUGAAUGAAAUCUAUGAACCAUAUUUUAGCUCAAGCAGUUUCUCAACAAGACCUGGAGGAUACUUUAUUGAAAAUAUAGUUUCUCAACAUAAUACAUUGUCACUGCAACUUGAGUGGUUAAAUGAUAAAAGGUGAAUAUGUGUUGUUCAGAAAUAAGAAUAAUUGCAUAAAUUGUGAAGUUAACAAUGCUAUUUAGGAGGCGAAAUUGACACAUUGAUAAACUUUCAAAUUCCUUUACCAACAAGGCACCAGUGGUCCAGCGGUAGAAUCCCCCCCCCCCCCCCCCCGGCGCGGGUAUGGUAAUCAGCCCCAACGUCGAACAAUUUUUAUUGUUGCCUUCUUUUGAUUAGUUCCAAAUCCUGCUUUAUUUUGUUAGUCCAUGGUACAAAGUACAAAACAGCAACACCAGUAACUCUCUUACGCCCUCCUUUAAUAAGGAUUAAGCUAAGCUACAAAGAGAGGAAAAGCUAACAGCUUUUCCAAAGAUGGCAGAAAAGAACAAAAUCCAAAUUCCAACAGUGAAAUUUGGAUUUCCGAUUUGCAGUUUUAAUUUUUUUCUCUCUGUUUUUUUUUUUCCUUUAAUGCUGAUAAUUCGUUUUCUCUAAUGAUGGUCAGUGGGCCGUGCCGGCACCAAACGUCGGCCCACACAGGCUCGUGGGCUGGCACCGCACGGCCCACUAAUUUGGUGGGUCAUGUUUAUUUUUUUUAUAAGAGUCCGGCACGGCCCACCAGCCUAAUAAUAACAAUAAUAAUAAUAAUAAUAAUUUCAUAGAUCAUAGUAAUAAUUAAUGAAAAAUAAAAUUACAAUUUUAGAAUAACAAUUACAUCUAAUUUUAUUUGAACUACUAAUAUUAUAAUUGCACAUAAACUCUAUUGAAUGAAAAUGUAAUUUUUAAUUUAUCAUAAAAAUAUUUUGUUCAUAAUUUUAUUUUUUUGUGUAUAAAUAUGAAAAAUAUUUCAUUCACAAAUGAAACAUAUCUCCAUUAACUAUUAACUAAGUUAUGAUUUCAUAAAUGAAAUAUUAAUGUCGUAAAAUUUUUUAUUUAUCAUUUAUAAAAUCAUGAUAUUUAUUUAUCCAUUUAAUAAAUUAUAAACAUAAAAAAAAAUUAGAAUAUUUAUUUAAACUAGGACUUAAAUUAAUUUUAAAAAGCCUAUGCUAAAAAAAUAUAUUAAAAAAUUUAAUUUCAAGAUAUUUAUAAAAUCAUGAUAUUUUAUAUUUAUUUUUCAUUAAAAAAUUUUAUUUUGAUAUACUUUGACCCACGGGCCGCGUGCUUAGCCCACUAAUGAAGCGUGCUUAUUACGUGCCUUUUUCGCGUGCCGUGCUUUGGCCCAUAUUUAAUCGUGCUGUGCUUUUAAGACCCGCGUGCCUAAAAUUCUAGGCUCGGCACGACCCACGUGCAUGUCAUGCCGUGCCUCGUGCCCUACCGAAACGUGCUCGUGUUGUGCCGUGUCUUGUGCCACCCGGCCCAUUUGUCAUCUCUAGUUUUCUCUGACUGUGUUUUUUUGCUUUCACAGGUUUCAAAGUUGGGGUUUGAAUGCAUGAGCCUAAGUGGAGGUUACAGUUCUCCCGUCUCUGAAGAGGAUGGCAUCUCAAUAAGAAAGCAUGCUUUCAACAAAGGAAUCACUCUUUUUUUUUUUUAACUAAUUAAGCAUCAGGUUACUGUAUUACAUAGACAUUUACAAUUGCUAUGACAGUAGAUCAUUACACUGAUAUUUACAAUUAAAUAUAUAAUUGGGACUUACAUUAUUACAUUAUUAAUUUUAUGAAAUACAUGCCAAACAAAUAAUCCUUAUGGAAGAACGGUGUCUUUACUCCACUCGCAUUUCAAAAUGGAGAAAUACUUCACAAAUAAUUUUCACAAAAUUAUGUUUAAUUGAGGGAUGUUGAGUUCAUGGGGAUUCGAACCAUUGCCCUCAUAGUUAUGCUUAACUUUAAAGGCCAAUGGUUCACCACUGGGCUAAAGCCCAAGUGGCAGGAACCACUUUCUUUGAUACUGCUUAGUGCUGAUAGAUAUGGACCUUACACUAACGAAAUUCUUCUUAGAAAGUUAAUAAUUAUGAAAAUGGCAUAAAAUGAAAUUAUCUUAUCAUGGAAUAACAUUUUAAAAGAAAAUCCAAAAUCCAAAUAGCUUAUAUUUAUGUUAAAAUUCUAAAUAAAAAAAUCAUAAAUUAGUAACUAAAUUAACUUAAUAAGAAUAACAUUGUCGUAUUACACACAAAAAAAAAAUCAUUUUGAUGAAUAUUUAAUGUUUGUAAAAUAAAUUAAAUUGAUUAGGGCAAUAUGGACUUUUUAUUAUAAAAUAACCUAAAUUGUUAGGGAAAUAAUUAACUGUAGCAUUGUUAAAUUUAAAGGGGUAAGUAGUAUUUCUAACUUAUUGAGUUAUUUCCAUAAUAAUAACCUAAAUAUGUUUGUUUAAGGUUUUGGCAAAUAGCUACUCUUAGACAUUACUAAGAAUAUCUGAAGAUGAAAAUCAAAUCACUGUUAAAAUUACCCCUGAGAAGCCACGAAGUUUGGGACUACAGAAAUAGAUACCCCUGAGUAUGUGCUCUGCCUUGUUGUGAAGCAAGCUUGCAGCACCUUGAUUUGAUUAUUAAUUGGCUUGACUUCCCUCUAAUUUUGGAUAAUUUCUUUAUAUGCUUUUCACUAAAAACAAAUAAAUUUACAAAGAAUACAUGCAUAGAUAACUUUCUUUCAAAUUUAAAAUGAAAAAUAAAUUGCGAAAAGAAAUUGUGAAUCUGAUGAUUCUUUUAAUAAAAAAAUUUACUGAUUAUAUGGUCAAAUCGAGACUGUAAAUUUCUCUCCUAAGUUCUACAUGACAUUUUGCAAAGUUUAGGGGAUAUUUCUUAACUUUUUAAAUAUUUUGAACUUGUUUUCAAUUACACUGAACUUUAGGACACUUGUCAAAACUUAUAAGUUCAUGAUUAAUCAUGAUAAAGAUAAAGAGCACGUGUCCCAGCUUAACACUUUUAGUCAUUCUGCUCAUUGUUGACGUUAGAGUCCACUGUCUCUCUACUUAUUGAAACUUGAAAGACACCCAAAACAAAGAAACCAAAACUACAGCUUCAAAAAUGGCAGAAGAGAAACUCCAAGUUCCAAGAGUGAAACUUGGUACCCAAGGCCUCGAGGUAAACUACCCAUAUGUAAUUUUUUUUUUUUAUCAAAUCCUGGAAAUUUGUUUUUCAUGGUCUUACAGGUUUCAAAGUUGGCGCUUGGAUGCAUGAACCUGAGUUCUGGUUAUAGCUCUCCAGUCUCAGAAGAGGAUGGCAUCUCCAUGAUAAAACAUGCUUUCAGUAAAGGAAUCACUUUCUUUGAUACUGCUGAUGUGUACGGACAAAAUGCUAAUGAAACUCUUCUGGGAAAGGUUAUGGUCAUUUCUUUGAAUUCUCUUACCUCUUAUAUAAUUCAGACAUAGGUCAAGUGGUAACUUAGGAACCACAGUCCUGAUGAAAUAUGUUUGUUUAGGAAUUGGUGAAUAAUUACUUUUGUAUCAUAGAAGGGAAACCUUGUCAGAAUUUUUAGAAUUUUAUUGAAUUAAAAAAAAAAAAAAAGAGUACUCCUUCGAUUUCAGGCC
RNAcentral lists this long non-coding RNA (5839 nucleotides) under Citrus x clementina. RNAcentral's name for it is "Citrus clementina (C. clementina) long non-coding RNA (CCLE_LNC002908)". The record is from RNAcentral. Lineage: Eukaryota; Viridiplantae; Streptophyta; Magnoliopsida; Sapindales; Rutaceae.